UUUGAUAUUGGUUUCCUUUUAGAUUUUAGGCCCAAGGGCAAGUAUAUAGUACAACCAUAUUUGCAACCAAAAUCAUGGGAGUGACCAGUUUUUUCUACAACACCUUAUUCAGGACAAAUGUGAGAUACAUAACAACCAUCAUCAUUGGUGGACUGACUUUUGAACAAGUUUUCAACAGAACUACAGCACAUAUAUUCAGGAAUAAAAUCAAUGAAGGGAGAGGAUUUCCAUACUUUGAAAAGGAAUUAUUGUUGAGAAAAGCUAAUGCCGAUGAAGAAGAUGAUGAUGAGUAGUGAUGUUUGCCAUGAGACUUAACUUAUUAGAAAAUUUCUUUUCUCAACUUUUGAGUAUAUUGUUUGUUUUAUCUCAUGUCAAAUUGGUUUAACAUGUGCUGUUUGCUGGG
This is a long non-coding RNA of Styela clava, 403 nucleotides long. RefSeq lists it as uncharacterized. The record is from RefSeq and is a predicted model, not a curated record. Lineage: Eukaryota; Metazoa; Chordata; Ascidiacea; Stolidobranchia; Styelidae.